Molecule: ribosomal RNA, 604 nt
Filed under: uncultured Acidobacteriota bacterium
Lineage: Bacteria; Pseudomonadati; Acidobacteriota
Description: bacterial SSU rRNA
Rfam family: Bacterial small subunit ribosomal RNA
Source: RNAcentral
AAUCUACCUAGAGGUGGGGGAUAGCCCCGGGAAACCGGGGGUAAUACCGCAUGAGUCCUCGAUGACACAAGUCGACGAGGGGAAAGGCGGGGAUCCUUCGGGACCUGUCGCCUCCGGAUGAGCCCGCGUCCGAUUAGCUUGUUGGUGGGGUAAUGGCCUACCAAGGCGACGAUCGGUAGCCGGCCUGAGAGGGCGAACGGCCACAUUGGGACUGAGACACGGCCCAGACUCCUACGGGAGGCAGCAGUGGGGAAUUUUGGGCAAUGGGGGAAACCCUGACCCAGCGACGCCGCGUGGAGGAUGACGGCCUUCGGGUUGUAAACUCCUGUCAGGUGGGAAGAAGAGCUUGUCGGUUAAUACCCGGCAGGAAUUGACGGUACCACCAAAGGAAGCCCCGGCUAACUCCGUGCCAGCAGCCGCGGUAAUACGGAGGGGGCAAGCGUUAUUCGGAUUUACUGGGCGUAAAGCGCACGUAGGUGGCAUGGUAAGUCAAAGGUGAAAGCCCUCGGCUCAACCGAGGAAUUGCCUUUGAAACUGCUUUGCUUGAGUCCGGGAGGGGGGAGCGGAAUUCCCAGUGUAGCGGUGAAAAUGCGUAGAUACUGGG